UGCUUACUUCAGCAGCACAUAUACUAAAAUUGGAACAAUGCAGAGAAGGUUAGCAUGGCCCUUGUGCAAGGAUGAUAUGCAAAUUCAUGAAGUGAUCCAUAUU
This 103-nucleotide small nuclear RNA is filed under the name Cervus elaphus hippelaphus. Lineage: Eukaryota; Metazoa; Chordata; Mammalia; Artiodactyla; Cervidae. The record is from RNAcentral.